CUAAGUCGCGUCGGGAGAGAUCGGCCGCAAGGCCGGCGCCGAAGGAGCAACCGCCCCGGAAACUCUCAGGCAAACGGACCGCGCGGCCGAC
Rhodopseudomonas palustris CGA009 is the source of this 91-nucleotide non-coding RNA. NCBI's taxonomy places the organism in Bacteria, Pseudomonadati, Pseudomonadota, Alphaproteobacteria, Hyphomicrobiales, Nitrobacteraceae. The record is from Rfam.